AUUGCUUCUUGGCCUUUUGGCUAAGAUCAAGUGUAGUGUCUGUUCUUAUCAGUUUAAUGUAGCAUUUUAGUACUUAACAUCACUUAAUUUUUAAAUUCUU
RNAcentral lists this small nuclear RNA (100 nucleotides) under Suricata suricatta (meerkat). RNAcentral's name for it is "U2 spliceosomal RNA (ENSSSUG00005005301.1)". It matches the Rfam family "U2 spliceosomal RNA", at positions 1 to 101 of the family's 192-position model. Rfam says of the family: U2 is a small nuclear RNA (snRNA) component of the spliceosome (involved in pre-mRNA splicing). Complementary binding between U2 snRNA (in an area lying towards the 5' end but 3' to hairpin I) and the branchpoint sequence (BPS) of the intron results the bulging out of an unpaired adenosine, on the BPS, which initiates a nucleophilic attack at the intronic 5' splice site, thus starting the first of two transesterification reactions that mediate splicing. The record is from RNAcentral. Lineage: Eukaryota; Metazoa; Chordata; Mammalia; Carnivora; Herpestidae.